RNAcentral lists this ribosomal RNA (253 nucleotides) under uncultured bacterium. RNAcentral describes it as "partial 16S ribosomal RNA". It matches the Rfam family "Bacterial small subunit ribosomal RNA", at positions 524 to 776 of the family's 1533-position model. The record is from RNAcentral.
GACGUAGGGUGCAAGCGUUAAUCGGAAUUACUGGGCGUAAAGCGUGCGCAGGCGGUUUUGUAAGACAGAUGUGAAAUCCCCGGGCUCAACCUGGGAACUGCAUUUGUGACUGCAAGGCUAGAGUGCGUCAGAGGGAGGUGGAAUUCCGCGUGUAGCAGUGAAAUGCGUAGAGAUGCGGAGGAACACCGAUGGCGAAGGCAGCCUCCUGGGAUGACACUGACGCUCAUGCACGAAAGCGUGGGGAGCAAACAGG